GCAGGAAAAGUAUAUACGCAAACCUGCGACAUAUUUUUCUUCUGUGUGCCACGUACGAAGGAGGGGUCUAGCGAGCUGGUGUACGGCCUCAGUCACGCUUGUGGAUCGCGCCACGCACGCAUCGACUUUUCUUUCGCCCUUGUCGCUGGGUCGCUCCCCCCUCCUUCCCUCCCCACCCUCCCUCCCUCCUGCUGAGCUGCCUCCCUCUUCCCCAUUGCUCUACUCGUUCAGGGAGGAGGAGGCCCCACAUCGGAAGGGGACAGUGCACUAGACAAAAGCAAGACCAACGACAGGAGACGCAUUGUCGUCUACGCACGCGCCUGCUACGUUUUUUUGUUCGUGAGCCUGUUCGCUUGCGACCCUGCGCAUUCGUGACACCUGCACAUCUGAAAGCCGUUCUCACGCUCAGGGGUGGGGCCUUCCCAGGCCGAUUCAAAAAGUGUUUCAGCUGUCGUUUUUUUUUUUGGGGGGGAGUGGAGGAAGGGGGGCGAGGUCUCUAUUGUUCACUUCUUUUUCGGUUUCUCGGUUGGCAUCCUGCCCCCGCCCUGCGCUCCUCGACUCGCACCCGCACCUCCAUUGUUCGAAAGAACGACGCACAUAGCGCGCACUCGUUGCUAGGCGUGGCGGAGGACGGUGUCAGCGACGGCGUAGGUGAGCGCUUGCACGGACUGCGUCCCGCGCGUGAUUUGUUGUUGUUGAGAGGACUGGCGCAUUCUGUUUUACCCCUAUUACUUGUGUCGUCUCUGCUCGUCUCUAGUGCGCCGCUGACGGUGCCUGACACAGGGGCAUGCAGGCGCAGGUUAAGACCUACUUCUCUCGCAAUCGCCGUCUUAUCUAUAGCUCUCCUCUCCACAAGGAGGUUAACUGCUUCUGUUUUGUUUCCUUGUACUUGGUGCCAGCGCCACCGCGACAGCUUGCAUUGCUAUUUCAUCUCUUGGGGUCCACGGGCGCCAAAGUCGCGCAGCUCAUCAUACGCGAGACCACAGAACAACAAAAAUGGGAGACCUGUACUUGGGUAUGAUGCUCAUCACCGCCACAACGGUGGGCAAGAUCAUACUGUGCGCCCUCGCGGGCAUGCUCGUCUCGAGGUACUUCUCUAACCCGAAAGAAACUCUGACAGGUCUCAGUUACAUUUCCGCGAGGGUGUUUCUCCCCUGUCUGCUGUUCGCAAACCUGUCCAUGAACGUGACGUGGGAGCAGCUGAGCAAAUUCUAUUGGGCACCGUUAUUUGCGCUGCUGCCGAUGGGGAUCGGCUUCCUGUCCUCGAUGCUGGUGCGUGCCGUUCUCAGAAGGGAGUACCACUUCGUCGUAAUCCUUGCCAGCUCCUUCCAGAAUGGCCUCACGUUCCCCGUGAGCGUGCUGCUUAACCUGAAGGGCAUCGAGUGGUUCACAGGGGCUGCCGUCGUGGACGCGCAGUCCUACAUCUUCCUGUACAACGUGGUCUGCUCGAUAGGGCUGUGGGCUCUCGGUGACCCCAUGAUCGCCUACGCGAAGACGAAGGAAGUGGAGUCUGAGGAGGCCAAUGAUGAGGAGUUGGUGGCCAGGCGGCGUCCGUACAGCAUGGAUGGGCGUGUCGACGGCGAAGCGGAGGGCAAGGAAAAGGCGCAGUCGUCGCCGCACACGGCAGCAGCGGCGCAGCAGGGCCAUGCCACCGCGCAUGAGCAACUCGAGUGGUAUCGGCCGGCGCAGGCAAGUGAUAAGCCGAUCAUGCUGCCACCAGGGUCCCCUGGGAUUCUGCUAGAUGAUGAGAUGCGCAUUACAAAUUCGAAGUUGAAGCCGAGGGACGAUCGUCUCAAGCGUCUGGGCCGGAUCGCUCUCACCUCGAUCCAGUCCCCAACAGUGCUGAGCAGCAUCAUCGCCCUCAUUAUCUCCCUUACACCGCCACUGCAGCGGCUGGCAAAGAGCCCUUUUGGCGAGCCCUUCGUCGGUGGCAUGGCCCUCGUCGGCAAGGGUGCCAUCCCGCUGCAUCUGGUGGUGCUGGGCUCCUCCGUCGCGGCCAGCCGCCCCAAGGCCCACCCGACAUCGUCGGCGAAGAGGGCGCAGGUGACAAUAUCGUCUCCCACCACAUCUGCCCCACUGCCGACGAGCGCAGACGGCACCGUCUUUGACGUGUCCGCGUCGCAGCCCGGAACAGGAGUCAACGCCCUUCGUUAUUGGAUCACCUCGAGGGUGCAGCCGCAGAUUCUCUUCACAUGCUGCGCAGUGGUGACGCGGCUCGUGAUUAUUCCGUGCAUCUGCUUCCUUGCCCUGCACAUUCUUGUGAAGGCGGGUCUCAUGCCAAGCGAGAAGCCAUUCUUGCUCUCGAUGCUGGUGGCCAUCAUAUCGCCUACCGCCAUCAACUCGACGCUGAUCUGCACCAUGCGUGAAUAUCACGUCCGCGACUACUCGCACAUGAUGUUUUUUAUGUACCUCAGCAGCAUCAUCACAUCCUCCGUAUGGCUUUUCUGCAUCCUCUUGUACUUGUCGGACUAGGCGCGUGGUAGUCGAGCGCCUGUGCACAAGAUGUGGGUAGGGAAACGCGGGAUAACUGCUGGUCCACUGACAUCUGUGCGUGUGAGAGGGUGUGCAUAUGCAAGGUCGAACCCCUUUGUUUUCGUUUUUGGAUGAGUGCAUUGCGCAUUGGUCGUGACCGGAAAAGGAAAAUCGUAUCCGUGGACGCGGCAUACACACAAAACAGCCCACGUGCGUAUCCGUGAAGGAAAGCUGGCACGCGUCUCCUCGGUUCACGCAUUCAGCUAUCUAUCCAUCCCAUGGCCAGGGACGUAGGGGUGAGAGAGGCAGGAGAAAGGGGAGAAGGGGGGUGUGCCGAGAUGGUCACAUCAGCGACAGCCGUGUACUUGUGUCGUGCUUGAUGUAGAUUGUCUCACUCACUCUAAGCUGCCUCUGGGCACGCGAUAUGCCGCACCGCCGGCUCACGGAUUUUAGCCGUGCACGCGGGCGUGCGUCUGUCUGCUUGUGCAUGCGAAGCCACCGCCUUCGUUGCUGAAGCGCGAAGCAGCGCUCUUCUCUGCUCAAUCGCGUGGAACGUACCCUCUCAUCACCAUCACUUGCGUCGCUGAUGACGAUGAUUUCUGCGUUGCUGUCCUGUCCCACUCUCCAUCCCUCUCUUGUCGUGCCGUCCACGGGGAAACCCUAACGCCGCUCAG
RNAcentral lists this unclassified non-coding RNA (3146 nucleotides) under Leishmania donovani. RNAcentral describes it as "gene:LdHU3.19.0840(CDS-product:transporter_putati ve)". The record is from RNAcentral. Lineage: Eukaryota; Euglenozoa; Kinetoplastea; Trypanosomatida; Trypanosomatidae.